UGGUAACAUGUUUCCGGCAAUUUGUGGAUAGGACUCCCUUUUCUUGCUACUUGGAGUUGUUUUUAGGGUGAGACAAUGUUAAACUCAAUUGUUUCUCUAACACUGAAAUUUAGUGCAAUGCAGUUAGUUGCUUACCAUACUAUGUUAGUUGUAAUCUAAUUUUUUUUUCAAUUUAAGUAAUGAAAGAAGGUGUUAAAAGAUGGAAAUAAAAAAACAAGAGAUAGUGAGCCUUCGGAAAGAGGAAUGCAAAAUUUAAGCCUGCCAAAGAUUCUAAAUUGGUUUUUUAAGAUUUUGGUGGCUGAUUGAGACAGUAGAAGAUAGGGUUAACUAUUAAAUUGGCCGGUCCCAAUUUGAAGCCUAAUAUGCUU
Molecule: unclassified non-coding RNA, 368 nt
Filed under: Hevea brasiliensis (rubber tree)
Lineage: Eukaryota; Viridiplantae; Streptophyta; Magnoliopsida; Malpighiales; Euphorbiaceae
Source: RNAcentral